This 75-nucleotide transfer RNA is filed under the name Pseudoramibacter alactolyticus. Its description in RNAcentral is "tRNA-Glu". It matches the Rfam family "tRNA". Rfam says of the family: Transfer RNA (tRNA) molecules are approximately 80 nucleotides in length. Their secondary structure includes four short double-helical elements and three loops (D, anti-codon, and T loops). RNAcentral also lists the same sequence under 2 other names. Lineage: Bacteria; Bacillati; Bacillota; Clostridia; Eubacteriales; Eubacteriaceae. The record is from RNAcentral.
GGCCCGUUGGUCAAGCGGUUAAGACAUCGCCCUUUCACGGCGAUAACGGGAGUUCGAUUCUCCCACGGGUCACCA